GAUGAACGCUAGCGGGAGGCCUAACACAUGCAAGCCGAGCGGUAGAGUCUCUUCGGAGACUUGAGAGCGGCGCACGGGUGCGGAACACGUGUGCAACCUGCCUUUAUCUGGGGGAUAGCCUUUCGAAAGGAAGAUUAAUACCCCAUAAUAUACUGGAUGGCAUCAUCUGGUAUUGAAAACUCCGGUGGAUAGAGAUGGGCACGCGCAAGAUUAGAUAGUUGGUGAGGUAACGGCUCACCAAGUAAGCGAUCUUUAGGGGGCCUGAGAGGGUGAUCCCCCACACUGAGACUGAGAAAAGGACCAGACUGCUACGGGAGGCAGCAGUAAGGAAUACAGGACAAUGGGUGAGAGCCUGAUCCAGCCAUCCCGCGUGAAGGACGACGGCCCUAUGGGUUGUAAACUUCUUUUGUAUAGGGAUAAACCUAGAUACGUGUAUCUAGCUGAAGGUACUAUACGAAUAAGCACCGGCUAACUCCGUG
Molecule: ribosomal RNA, 479 nt
Filed under: uncultured bacterium
Lineage: Bacteria
Description: partial 16S ribosomal RNA
Rfam family: Bacterial small subunit ribosomal RNA
Source: RNAcentral